UCCGUAGGCGGUGUGGUAAGUCGAUAGUGAAAUCUCUGGGCUUAACCCAGAGGCUGCUAACGAAACUGCCAUGCUAGAGUGUGAGAGAGGCGAGUGGAAUUACGGGUGUAGCGGUGAAAUGCGUAGAUAUCCGUAGGAACAUCCGAGGCGAAGGCGGCUCGCUGGAUCACAACUGACGCUGAGGGACGAAAGCUAGGGGAGCAAACAGGAUUAGAUACCCUGGUAGUCCUAGCCCUAAACCAUCAGGACUUGGGGUUUGCCUGUACGGGGCAAGUCCCGUAGCUAACGCGUUAAGUCCUGCGCCUGGGGAGUACGGUCGCAAGGCGUGAA
Molecule: ribosomal RNA, 330 nt
Filed under: uncultured bacterium
Lineage: Bacteria
Description: bacterial SSU rRNA
Rfam family: Bacterial small subunit ribosomal RNA
Source: RNAcentral